CACUACUUUCGAUAUUUUAUGACAGAAAGGAGAAUUGAUUUGAUGCUGGGAGCAUAUGAUCACUCCCUGUGCUCUCAUCUGCUGCUGCUUACAGAGGAGAGGAUGCAGAGAGGACAACAGAGAACAGUGGACACACAGUUUAACAUGAUGGACUAUAGGACAGGACUGCUGCUUUUAACUCUCUGCUGGGCAGGUGCUGAUGGUCAGACUCUGACAGAAUCUGAACCAGUGGUUAAAAGGCCUGGAGAAUCUCACAGAUUGACCUGUACAGCCUCUGGAUUCACGUUCAGCAGCUACGAUAUGACCUGGAUCAGGUGUUACAGGUACCGUCUGGCACCACGUAAAAAGCUUAUAUGCUCUCUCUGGAAACAGGAGAAAUAAAUGAGACAGGGCAAACUCUGCGUCCGGUUUUCAUCUCGCUCAGCAGAAAGAGGAAAACCGCAAAGCGGACAAAACUGACGUAAAGCCCCGUGGAGCACAAUAAGCGCCACACUACCCCCUGCUGGCGAACUCCACAAUUACUCCUGACCUCUCUUUAACAUAUUUUAGUGCAUGGAUGGUGGAACCAGGUUAAUUACCCCUGAACAAAUAUUCAAAAACAUUCAUUAUAACAUUACAGAAACUACCACAAAUGUGAUAACACUUUAGUGGGAAUCACACGCUCUCUGACAGAGAAGAAUGGCUCCCGACAUUUCCAAAAAUCUUUAUCUCAAAACAGUUUAACUAUUUUUAAAUUUUUAACCUUGAUUCUCAAAUCUCUAUUCAACAAACAAGCAUAGUAGCAAGGUGGAAUGUAUGUGGCUGGUGCUUGGUAAGGGUAUGGCAUGUAUGGUGUCUGGGAGUAAAGGCUCCUGGAAAAGGACUGGAGUGGGUUGCUUAUAUCAGCCAUAGCAAUGCUAGCAUCCACUACUCUCAGUCAGUCCAAGGCUGGUUUACCAUCUCCAGAGACGACAGCAGACAGCAGCUGUAUCUGCAGAUGAACAGUCUGAAGACUGAAGAUUCUGCUGUUUAUUAUUGUGCUCGAGACUCACAGUGACUGGAGUUGGUUGAGCAGCUGUACAAAAUCCUACAGCACUCAUCUUUACUGGGCUGAUUGGCCCAAUAUUGAAGCAUAUUUUUUUUCUUUUGUUUUUAAUGAACACAUACUUUUUCAUGCACUACAAAACAAUUGUUUUGCAGAGAUGUGUGAGAUGUGUUUCUCUUCAAGGGGGAGUCAGUGCAAAACUCUGAUCAAGAUCAGUUCACUGUUAAAGAGAGAAACAGACACAUUUAGUGAAAAAGUAAAUGAAUGUGUCAUAGUUAGCCACUAUGCCCCCUGAUCCUCUUCUACUCUUUUGUAUCUGCCCUAGCUUGUGUUUCUUGGCUGUCUCCUGUCUGUUGUUGUCUAUGUAAGUGUGUGUCUGUGUUCUGGCUGGCUCCCCGAUCUCCUGGCUGCGGUUGAUUACCGGCACACCUGUUCUCCAUCAUCAUCUAUCACAACAGUUUAUCUACUGGGCUCAUCCCCACACCAGCGCCAGAUCAUCUUCAUACCCAUGCAUGCACAACGUGAAACGGCCU
This is a long non-coding RNA of Siniperca chuatsi (mandarin fish), 1557 nucleotides long. RefSeq lists it as uncharacterized. NCBI's taxonomy places the organism in Eukaryota, Metazoa, Chordata, Actinopteri, Centrarchiformes, Sinipercidae. The record is from RefSeq and is a predicted model, not a curated record. The transcript has 3 exons.